Molecule: long non-coding RNA, 2319 nt
Filed under: Schizosaccharomyces pombe (fission yeast)
Lineage: Eukaryota; Fungi; Ascomycota; Schizosaccharomycetes; Schizosaccharomycetales; Schizosaccharomycetaceae
Source: RNAcentral
GAUUUUGCUUCUUGAGUAAGUGUAUCGUUAGAUGGUCGACGUUUGAGUUGUUUGUUAUGACUGCUAGUUUUAGAAUCGACAAUAAUGUCAUAUUCAUCAAGAUUAAUAACGAUUCUUUCCGACGAAGAGAAGUCAUUAACUUCAUUAAUCUCGUCGGUUAAAACUUGUGAAUCUUCUGGCGAAUUUGAAGGAGGUUGCUGUUUAAGAGGAAUGCUGGUAGCAUUUGAAAGUAUUUGGUAAGGUAAUCCUUCGGUGGAAUUAGAAUCAAUGAAUGUAACUUCAAUUAACAAGGGAACCCUAGUAGCUUCCUCGCCAUCAUCAUCCUUUUCGACAGCAGAAUCACCAAGAACUGUGAGAAUAGUAUUUUUGGCAGGAUUUAUACCCAAAUCAUCAAAAGUUUUAUCCAAGUUAUCAUCAAAGUCAGGAUCAUAUAUCAGCUUAUCGUUUAAAACGCUAACCUCUUCUGAGUAAUGCAAACGACUUUUCAAAAUAUCAUCAACAAGAACUCUUAGAGUCAUAUUUUUGUCAUUUACUCCAAGCUGUAAAAGUACAAAAGAACAAGUAGGACAGUAAGGGUUAGGUUUACAAGUUUUCUCGCAAUGGAGUACUCUGGUAGGCCUUUUAGCCAAGUAUAUCUUAAAUUGUUAGCAAAUACAGCUGAAACCUAAUAACUUACAUUUUUUAGAUCAUUGAGAUCUCCUUGAAGAACCUUGAUAGCUUGCGUGAUACAUAGUCCAGCUAUGACUGCAUUUGUGGUUGCGAUAGCAGGAAUAAUAUUGCCAGCCAUUUGUUUAAUGUCAAAUUCAGAGAGUUGUUGAAUUCCAAAUACAUGGGCACGCAAAUUAGCUGCCGCUGCUACAAAAUCCAAUGUAUCCUUAUCAUCCUUGUCAAAAGAAAGAUCGUCUUUUGAGGAUUUAGACCUUAAAGCAAGGCGUCUAAUGCUAUCUCUGAGAACUGCAAAACUUUCAGCAACAUUCCAAACAUUUUGUUCAUUAAGCCAAGGUGAAGUGGCUUUUUCGGCAUUCUCUAAAAGUUCCGAGUAUGAAAGUUCUUUUGGAGGAGAACGAUAUGUCCAUGCGUCAGGGACUUCGCGGAGUCGAACUAUGUCUUUAGUAAACAUUUUCGUAAAUAUUUUUUCAAAACCAUUGUCACUUUGACCAAUUGACGACCUAAGCUCGUUUAGCUCAGUUGUUUCUCUAGCUAGUUCUGCGAUUUCACGUCUCUCCAUUUCGUUUGCAGAAACAUUGUCAAUGAUUCCAUCACUUUCUUGAUCAUUACUAAAAAGUUGGGGGAAGAAAUAACUUUUUGCCCAAACUACACAAUGAAUCGGUUGACUUGGUGUGCUUCGAAUGGUACAAACCGGAUAAGUUUUAGGAGGCUCUUUGGGAUUACAGUCGUAACAUUCAGUUUUGCCAUGAAUGAUAACCUGUACCUGGCCAAGAAAUCCGGUUGUUCCACUUUCAAUCAAAGGUACAGAAGCAAGUAAGCAUUGUUUAUUCACAUGUCUACGAGCAUCCAAGUUAUCUAGUGCGUUAAAAACAAGAUCAAAUUGACGAAACCAAGCAACAUUAAAUCGGUCUUCUUUUAUAUUUGCAUGAUAAGCUUCAAGCUUUACAUUUGGGUUAAAUGAGCUUGCGGUUUUUGCAGCAACGAUUGCCUUAGGUUGUUUGACAUGCUUUUUACGAAAAAGAAAUUGUCUGUUAAGAUUAGACAAAUCAAUAGUAUCAAGAUCGAUCUACAGUAUAAGAGUUAAUAAAUCGCGAUAAAAACAUGUAGACGAAACGUUUCUUAAGGUUUAAAAAAUUUAAAUAUACAACUCACUUACUAUAUGAACUUCUUUAACUCCUGACAUAAGAAGGUUCUUUAACAAUUCACACCCAAUUCCACCCGCUCCAACUAAAAGGACCUGACCAAUUGUUAAAACCCACCAGUUUUUCUAUUACAUACCUUGGCAGACUUGAAAUUUCGUAAGGCCUCCACAAAUGUCAAUGGUUUCAUAUCGUUGCUGAGUUGCAUUAGGGUUGGCAUGUUAGCAAUCGAUUCUAAUUAUGGGCUUAAAAGAAGCGAGAAAAACAAUCCCAUACAAAUAGAAUAAAUAGCAAGUUCGCCAGCUAUUAUUAAUUUUGAAGUCCCUGCGCGAUAAAACUAGAGCAUUAAUUUAUUACACUAAGUUACCUUAUUUAAUUUUUCUAUCCUACAAAAAAUUACUUUCAUUAGAACUCACAAUAAAAUAAAUAAAGAAUAGAGAAGUGCAUACUACAAAAUAUAAAAUUGAGUAUUCUUUCACUUUGGGCUUGUUGGACAACAUAUUCGUAGUUA